AGAAAAAAAAAAACCCUGAGAAAAUCUAAAGACCAAUUGAAUCUUAGGUGAAAACUCAGGAUGACAAGAAAGAACUUUCAAAGAGAGAAAUUUCAUUUCUGAUUCUCUAUUAGUACAUGUUGACAUCCAUAUUUUUUAUUUUCUUUAUGGGGGGUGGCAUCUUAUCAUCUUUACAGAUCACAAUUAAAUUAUACAUUUAAACAUUCAUGGGCUAUCUACUUAACUGAGGACCGACACCAGAGAACAGAAAUGCUACAGGGAGAAGAUGCAUUUCUACGUAUCUGGGGUCUAAGAACAAAUCACAGGAUGACUUCCAUCAGUAAUGCUAUGGACCCAGAGAAGAAGCAAAAGUGUCCAAGACACUAUGAAAUGCAGCUCACUCUGCCAUUUCCCAUCGGAAAUAAGAGAAUGCGGGAAAUAAAGUGUCAGGAGUUUGAACC
RNAcentral lists this long non-coding RNA (440 nucleotides) under Sus scrofa (pig). RNAcentral describes it as "lncRNA (ENSSSCG00070023577.1)". Lineage: Eukaryota; Metazoa; Chordata; Mammalia; Artiodactyla; Suidae. The record is from RNAcentral.